UAUCUCUGUAGAGUCUGCAUAUCAAUAAGCGGAGGAAAAGAAACUAACAAGGAUUCCCUUAGUAACGGCGAGUGAAGCGGGAAGAGCUCAAAUUUGAAAUCUUCAAGGUUCUACCUUGACGAAUUGUAGUUUAAAGAAGUGUUUUCUGUUAGAUGAGUAGCAAAAGUUCCUUGGAAUGGGACAUCAUAGAGGGUGAGAAUCCCGUAUUUGGUUAUUCAUUCUAGCUUUGUGAUACACUUUCAAAGAGUCGGAUUGUUUGGGAAUGCAGUCCAAAAUGGGUGGUAAAUUUCAUCUAAAGCUAAAUAUUGGCGAGAGACCGAUAGCGAACAAGUACCGUGAGGGAAAGAUGAAAAGAACUUUGAAAAGAGAGUUAAACAGUACGUGAAAUUGUCAAAAGGGAAGCGUUUGACACCAGUGUCGUUUUUCCGAAAAUCAAUUACGAAUGGCUUGAUUUUGUGUUGUAUUGACCUUAUCAGCUUUCUUCACUUUUUUCGAGUCUUUCUUAAUGCACUUUUCGGUUAACAAGUCAACAUCAAUUUCUUUUGUUGUAAAAGAGUAUUCGGAAGGUGGCUUUCUUUUCGGAGAAAGUGUUUAUAGCCCUAUACUUCUACAAUCGGAGAGAUUGAGGUCUGCAGCGUAGAUCCUUCGGGGUUAGAUACACUUGUGCUAAGUUGUAGCUUUUCAUAGACAACUUGUUGACUAUGUUUAGUCAUGCGGCUUACUCGCUUGUGCUAUUUUACCUACGCUUAGGAUGUUGACUGAUAUGUAGUCGUA
Molecule: ribosomal RNA, 774 nt
Filed under: uncultured Neocallimastigales
Lineage: Eukaryota; Fungi; Neocallimastigomycota; Neocallimastigomycetes; Neocallimastigales
Description: partial large subunit ribosomal RNA
Rfam family: Eukaryotic large subunit ribosomal RNA
Source: RNAcentral